This 233-nucleotide ribosomal RNA is filed under the name uncultured bacterium. RNAcentral describes it as "partial 16S ribosomal RNA". It matches the Rfam family "Bacterial small subunit ribosomal RNA", at positions 544 to 776 of the family's 1533-position model. The record is from RNAcentral.
UCCGGAAUCAUUGGGCGUAAAGAGCGUGUAGGCGGCCAUCUAAGUCCUGCGUGAAAUCUUGCGGCUCAACCGCAAGCGGUCGUGGGAAACUGGGUGGCUAGAGUGCGGGAGAGGAGAGUGGAAUUCCUGGUGUAGCGGUGGAAUGCGCAGAUAUCAGGAAGAACACCCGUGGCGAAGGCGGCUCUCUGGAACGCAACUGACGCUGAGACGCGAAAGCGUGGGGAGCAAACAGG